AUUGCAAGUCGAACGAUGAAGCCCAGCUUGCUGGGUGGAUUAGUGGCGAACGGGUGAGUAACACGUGAGUAACCUGCCCUUGACUCUGGGAUAAGCCUGGGAAACUGGGUCUAAUACUGGAUAUGACUUCUCACCGCAUGGUGGGGGGUGGAAAGAUUUAUUGGUCUUGGAUGGACUCGCGGCCUAUCAGCUUGUUGGUGAGGUAAUGGCUCACCAAGGCGACGACGGGUAGCCGGCCUGAGAGGGUGACCGGCCACACUGGGACUGAGACACGGCCCAGACUCCUACGGGAGGCAGCAGUGGGGAAUAUUGCACAAUGGGCGCAAGCCUGAUGCAGCGACGCCGCGUGAGGGAUGACGGCCUUCGGGUUGUAAACCUCUUUCAGUAGGGAAGAAGCGAAAGUGACGGUACCUGCAGAAGAAGCGCCGGCUAACUACGUGCCAGCAGCCGCGGUAAUACGUAGGGCGCGAGCGUUAUCCGGAAUUAUUGGGCGUAAAGAGCUCGUAGGCGGUUUGUCGCGUCUGCCGUGAAAGUCCGGGGCUUAACCCCGGAUCUGCGGUGGGUACGGGCAGACUAGAGUGCAGUAGGGGAGACUGGAAUUCCUGGUGUAGCGGUGAAAUGCGCAGAUAUCAGGAGGAACACCGAUGGCGAAGGCAGGUCUCUGGGCUGUAACUGACGCUGAGGAGCGAAA
This 691-nucleotide ribosomal RNA is filed under the name Citricoccus sp. N21(2010). Its description in RNAcentral is "bacterial SSU rRNA". It matches the Rfam family "Bacterial small subunit ribosomal RNA", at positions 54 to 758 of the family's 1533-position model. Lineage: Bacteria; Bacillati; Actinomycetota; Actinomycetes; Micrococcales; Micrococcaceae. The record is from RNAcentral.